CUCACCAGGCCCCAGGGGUCUAAUUAGAGUCCUCUGGAGUGGGGGGCGAGGACAGCCAGCCCCAAGAGGCUGUGAUCCUCCCCCAGAGCCCCCAGCUCUCCUCCGCCCCGCACACAAGAGCAUCUGCAAAGACGAGGGCCCCUGGGCCACGUCUGCAGGGCACGGAGAGAGCGUGGCCCGCUGGAGACUCUGGAGUUGCAGGCCCUUGCGGGAAUCCAUGCCACACACUAGCAGCUGUGUGAUGUCCAGCGGCCCCUUCCGCUCUCUGUGCCUUGGUUCUCCGCUGCAUGCAGGGAGGGGAGGCGGCCCGCACCUUCUAAGGACCUUUCCGCUCGGCGUCCUUCUGCUCAUCUUGCCGGGCUUGUCCAGCUCACAACAUCAGUGCUUUGCUAACAUGUGUCCUGGCCCUGAACUGUCUGCAGAGCCCGACAGAGCACCUCACCUGGUCAAGGAAAUUUUCAGUCCCAUCCAGCCUGCACAGACCGCACGCCUCUGGGCUUUAUCAGCUCCAUUCUAGAGAAGAAUCCAAUGAAGCUCCAAAGACAGACCGUCUGGAUCAAGAUCAUACAAAGUCACAGAGUGGGAUUGUCUGCCAGUUCCAUCACAUCUUUGCCAGCAUGCAAAUGAUGCACUUUGGGGUUUCUCAGGGCGUUAACCCCAUGCUCUCCAAUCCCCGAUUCCGGGAGUCCAGAUUUUGCGCCAGCUGUGCAAGAAGGACAUAUGAAGAGCGCAGAGGAUUCUUCUCCAGGAUAUCAAGGACCGUAUUUUCUUCCCCUGGAGUGCUUCAUAUAGGAUCAAGAGGCAGAGUGGCUUCGAGAACAUUUUUCUGCAUGCCGCCCAGGACUCUUCUGAUGACUCGCCAUCUGAUCAGCACUUGGUUCCAGCAAAUGGCAAUACUGACACCAAAUGUCGUUCACCUCCGGUGGCUGCUGCCCUCUCCGUGUACAGAGGCUCCAUACCAAACAAUACGGCCAUGGAAACAACCUGCUGCCAAUGCCUUUCGGGGCGUCUUUGACCUUGCCUGUCCCUCUGGUCAGGGCUCAGUCGUCCCAGGAGCUGGCGUGCAUCGCUGAUCCUACAGACACCAUGCAGCUGAUGGGCGGGCAGAGAGCGCUGCAGGUCACUGUCCAAGGCAGGUCCGAACUCCCGCACUCCUCAGCCUGUUCUGUGUGCCAUCCGGCCCCAUCCAAGAGGGCCCCAGGUACCCUAACGGGGCCCACUCCACCUAGCUGCACACCCCAGGCUUCCAGGGCGCCAUAGCCAAUUGCUCUGCGAGACCUGGCCUCCUUGUAAUUUCCAAUUUGUGACAAAUGUAAAAAUAGAAGGCCAUUCGAUGCAGGCAGCUCACAUCAAAUUGGAUGCCACUUUCGUGUCAUGUCAGAUCACGGUAAACGGAGCUGAUGACUUGGUCGGCCACUCUCCGUGGCUCCUGGAGCAGUGAGAGGGUGCUGACAGACCAGGGAGCCACCUAAGAGUUAGGGAAAGGUGGCUGGGUGCACAACACUCAAAACAGCUUUAAAUGAGUUUGAACUCUAGGUCACAAAUCUGCUGUAAGAAGCAGGGCACUUGAGUGCGAAUCCCAGAUCUGCACCUUAGGGUGCAGCUGAGGGACCUUGGGUACAAACUCUUCUCUCCAGGCCUCGACUUCCUUAAAGAACACCACUGCCUGCCCCCCUGGGUCCCCCAGAGCUGCAGCAAAGCUCAGUGUUGGAAAACAAAGCAGGCAAGCGCUUCCUAACCAUGCAGCUCCUUAAAUGGGGAGUGUGGUCCUUGCUGAGCCAGCCGCCCUGGGGAGGUCGAUGGAGGGUUGGCCCUUCAUGGCAAGAAUGUCAGCACACUACAGCCUUGCCUAGCAAGGGUCCUCAUCUCUCUUCUUCUCGGUUUCCUCAUCUGCACAGGGACAAUUCCAUGCACCCCACGGGGCUUUGUGAAAAUUAAAUGCAAUCAUGUAAGUAAAGCACACAGCACGUUCCCUGGCAGAUCACCGACUUGCAA
This is a long non-coding RNA of Suricata suricatta (meerkat), 1995 nucleotides long. RefSeq lists it as uncharacterized. The record is from RefSeq and is a predicted model, not a curated record. The transcript is spliced from 4 exons. Lineage: Eukaryota; Metazoa; Chordata; Mammalia; Carnivora; Herpestidae.